Molecule: ribosomal RNA, 620 nt
Filed under: uncultured bacterium
Lineage: Bacteria
Description: bacterial SSU rRNA
Rfam family: Bacterial small subunit ribosomal RNA
Source: RNAcentral
GAUGAACGCUGGCGGCGUGCUUAACACAUGCAAGUCGAACGGGAAAUACUUCAUUGAGACUUCGGUGGAUUUGAUUUAUUUCUAGUGGCGGACGGGUGAGUAACGCGUGGGUAACCUGCCUUAUACAGGGGGAUAACAGUCAGAAAUGGCUGCUAAUACCGCAUAAGCGCACAGAGCUGCAUGGCUCAGUGUGAAAAACUCCGGUGGUAUAAGAUGGACCCGCGUUGGAUUAGCUGGUUGGUGGUGUAACGGCCCACCAAGGCGACGAUCCAUAGCCGGCCUGAGAGGGUGAACGGCCACAUUGGGACUGAGACACGGCCCACACUCCUACGGGAGGCAGCAGUGGGGAAUAUUGCACAAUGGGGGAAACCCUGAUGCAGCGACGCCGCGUGAAGGAAGAAGUAUCUCGGUAUGUAAACUUCUAUCAGCAGGGAAGAUAGUGACGGUACCUGACUAAGACGCCCCGGCUAACUACGUGCCAGCAGCCGCGGUAAUACGUAGGGGGCAAGCGUUAUCCGGAUUUACUGGGUGUAAAGGGAGCGUAGACGGUGUGGCAAGUCUGAUGUGAAAGGCAUGGGCUCAACCUGUGGACUGCAUUUGAAACUGUCAUACUUGAGUGC